This 433-nucleotide ribosomal RNA is filed under the name uncultured bacterium. RNAcentral describes it as "partial 16S ribosomal RNA". It matches the Rfam family "Bacterial small subunit ribosomal RNA", at positions 29 to 507 of the family's 1533-position model. The record is from RNAcentral.
AACGAACGCUGGCGGCAUGCCUAACACAUGCAAGUCGAACGAGACCUUCGGGUCUAGUGGCGCACGGGUGCGUAACGCGUGGGAACCUGCCCUUAGGUUCGGAAUAACUCCCCGAAAGGGGUGCUAAUACCGGAUAAUGUCUUCGGACCAAAGAUUUAUCGCCUUUGGAUGGGCCCGCGUUGGAUUAGCUAGUUGGUAGGGUAAAAGCCUACCAAGGCGACGAUCCAUAGCUGGUCUGAGAGGAUGAUCAGCCACACUGGGACUGAGACACGGCCCAGACUCCUACGGGAGGCAGCAGUGGGGAAUAUUGGACGCUGGGCGAAAGCCUGAUCCAGCAAUGCCGCGUGAGUGAUGAAGGCCUUAGGGUUGUAAAGCUCUUUUACCCGGGAUGAUAAUGACAGUACCGGGAGAAUAAGCUCCGGCUAACUCCGUG